AUGGGAGAUGAAAAUUGGAAGAAAGAAUGCAUUGGCGAUUAUGACGUGCCCUUCUUCAUGGCAUCUCACAACCCCUUUUUCCUGGACGGACUCUUCUAUUUUCUGGACAUCAAUGGCAGGCUUGGAGUCGUGGACCCGAACAAGGACGAAAUGGAAUGGAACCUCAUGGAAAAGCCGGAUCAACCAAUACGUGGAAGCGAUGAGGUGCAUUCUGGGGAAUGGGACUAUAGCUAUCUGGUGGAGUGGAAGCAGGAGCUGAUCACCAUUGUCAGAGAUAAUGGCGAUGAUGGGUCCAUCAAAAUGUUCAAGCUGGAUCGGUCUCGGAUGGUUUGGUCAGAGUUGGAAGGGUUGGAGGGCGCGGCCAUGUUUUGGGAUAGGAAGAAUGCUUUAAUUGUUGUGCCACCCGUCGAAGAAGAUUUAUGUAACAAGGUGUUCCUACCAAACUAUAACGAGACCAACGGUGGUGGCAGGAAGCAGGCGUUCUACUCAUUCCAAGAGCAAUGCUACUACCCUUCCUUUUAUGCCAAGGAGUCCAUGAACGCUAUAUGGUUCUAG
RNAcentral lists this ribosomal RNA (555 nucleotides) under Triticum aestivum (bread wheat). Its description in RNAcentral is "partial small subunit ribosomal RNA". Lineage: Eukaryota; Viridiplantae; Streptophyta; Magnoliopsida; Poales; Poaceae. The record is from RNAcentral.